Non-coding RNA from Camelina sativa (false flax), 1785 nucleotides. NCBI's taxonomy places the organism in Eukaryota, Viridiplantae, Streptophyta, Magnoliopsida, Brassicales, Brassicaceae. The record is from RefSeq and is a predicted model, not a curated record.
GUAGGUGAAAACCAUAGAAAAGAGUCAAUCUAAAAUGGAUGAUGAUGGUCCAUCAGAGAAUUCCUCUGAAUAUUCAACUCAUUUUACUCUCUCCCUUGAUAAAAAAAGUGAAAUCUUCUGUGAUUUGUUUGUCUUUUUUUUUUUUUAAUUUGAAGAUAAUAUAAAGAUUUUGGGAAUUUCACUUUCUAGGGAAUAGGGAUCUAGGGUUUUACUCGAUCAACAUGUAAAUUAGCAUUAUCUUAAAUUUUGGAACUAACAUUAUUUGGGAUUAAAAUUUUAUUUUCCUUUUUUGUUCAAAAAAAAGUGUUAAAAAGCUAAUAGAAAUGCCCAAAAUUUUCGGAAUUGUUGUUUGUUUUCUUGGAAAAAGAUUUGGUAAUUUCGCACUCACAAUUGGCUCGGAGCAGAGAGAGGGAUCUAGGGAUUUACUCGAUCAAACAUGCUUCUCAAUCAAUGCGGAGCGGAGACGACGAUAGAAGAUUCCAUGGAAGGAUCUUCUUUAAUGUUUGUAUAUUCUUACCUGACAAAGCGUAAGGCCGAGUUCGACGCGGAGGAGUUAGAAGAAAGCGAUGAAGGACUCGGAGAUGAGAAAGUCAAAAUUGACGAGCGUGAGGCUGAUAAAGCGCUCUUAGAGGAGCAUGAGUGGGAUAUGGACGGCUCCGACGGUUUAGAGUAUCAUUCCUCCACGAAUUCGGACCACUCAUCGGUGGAUUUGAAAAGUAACGCGAGAAAGCGUAAGGCCGAGUUCGAGUUCGAGGAGGAGGAGGAGGAAGAGAGCGAUGAUGAAGAAGAAGGCGUUGAUGAUGGGAGAGGCAAGAUAGAGGAGGAGCCUGAGGCUAGAAUAGAUUACUUGAAGGCGCCUGAAUGGGAUGUGGACAGCUUUGAUGGUUUAGAGUAUUAUUCCUCUCCUGAGCCAAUACUUUCCUCCGACGAGGAACUUUUCACCGAAGAAGAGAUGGAACACUAUCGCAUCUUUAAACGCCAGAUGAUCGAGAGCAAGGGAUUUUACGGGGAUCGUGAGCUUAGGCCAAGUUUUCAUUUCAAAGGAAUAAGUCCAAUGAAGUUGGAGCAGAGAGCCCUUCCCAAUCAAAACUACCGCCAGUUCUGGCAAGAGAUGGUUUAUGUUUGUCUCCAAAAACUCAACCAAGACAAGGAUUCGAAUGUGGAGUUCAUUGAAGUUGUGAGAGGUUAUUAUCGCCCAGGACCUAGAUCAAAGUCAUACAUUACCUUUAUGGCCAGGGAGAAGCCUGAUGGACCUCUUGUGGAGUAUCAAGCCAAGUGUAUGGUUACUUUGGACGGCGAGAGUCAUCCCAUCCUCUGUAGACCGGCUCCUACGUUAAUGCCUUGAUACCAAAAACUUGUUCAAUCAAUCAAGGUAUGGGCUUCUCUUAGCCAACUUGUGGCCUAUUGAACGGCGUAGACAGAGGGAAUUCUUCUGUUUCGGAAUGGACAUUCUGCUGAAACUAGACUUAGAGGCUACUAUGUUAUAGAGAAGAUUGGAGGACUCAAAAGGAUGGACUUGGCAAAGGGCGCUGUUAUAACAAGUCACAUUAUCUCGUUUCUAAUGAUCUAGUGGAUGCAACAUUUUAACUUGUGGUCUUAAUAGUUUCGUCUGUUUUUGUUUGGUUAUCAUGUGUCGACACUUCGGUAGUAUUUCUUUUCUUUUAGGUUUAGUGGUGCUUCCGUUGCUUUGGUUUCAGUUUGUUAGUCUAAAACUUGUGCUCAUUACUGCAAUAUUUGAGGGAGUAAAUCAAAGUAGUUUCUGAAAGAACGUUAACCAUUUUUUUU